Acanthochromis polyacanthus (spiny chromis) is the source of this 4107-nucleotide long non-coding RNA. RefSeq lists it as uncharacterized. The record is from RefSeq and is a predicted model, not a curated record. The transcript has 2 exons. NCBI's taxonomy places the organism in Eukaryota, Metazoa, Chordata, Actinopteri, Pomacentridae.
CGGUGGUGGGGGUUUCCCUGGAACAUUUUAGCACAGGCCGACACAGUCAUUCCUCCAUCGCUACACACCGCCUACCACCUCCUCCAUACCGGAUUUCCAUACAGAGGAAUACCGUAUGGGUGUGAGAUCACGGCUUUCAUGAAAUAGUGAUCGACCCAGCCUCACACAGGAUGGACAGAGAGAGGAAGAGACAGAGAGAGAGGGAGAGGGGGAGAAAGAGGGUGCGGGAGGGGGUUGUGGAGAGGAGGAGGAGGAGGAGAAGGAGGGGAUAUUCCUUUGGACAGCCUUUAUCAUGCAUCCACCCCACCAUCACAAUCCAGUCUCCCCGCAACCGUGAUUUUUUUUUUGCCCCUUUUGACAAUCGAAAACACGACAAAGCAGCAGGCUUUUUUCUUUCUUUCUUUCUUUUUUUUUACAAACUAGCUGACACACAGGGGAAAUGAAGGCCGGCAGCGGGCACAGCUAACACCAUCCUCAUAGCCGCACGUCGCAUCCAAGCGGAAAAGCUUUCCGAUAUUGCAGAGAGAGCGGCUCGACAUGAAAACUGCAGGAGCGGACACAGACCAAUGCAGAGCCCACAUUUACUGCUUCAACCGCAUAAGCACUGGGAUAUCAUGUAGCAUGAACACGAUUGCAUACCGCUAGAGAGAGAGGGAGAGAGAGAGGGAGAGAGAGAGAGAGAGGGAGUGAGAAGAAUGCAAGCCUUUAAAUCACCGUCGCCUUCAAGAGGCUGCAGAAACCAUCGAGAGACCCGGAGCCGCCGCCGCCACGCAAAAUCCAGCCGACAUGUAUGAAGGUCCGUGCGCACAGCCAGAGGAAAAGAAUUCAAGGAAAUAUGAAAGAGCCAAUGGGCAUUUCGGCUUUUUACCUGUCAAGACUCCGACCCGGAUUUGGUGGUCGUGGUUCGUUAAAAUCAUCCCGUCUGACGCCAUGUUCAGCAGCGCUGUCGCCCGCACCGAGAACUCACGGCAGGGCCCAGAGCCGAUCACAUCGAACUUACUGGGAGAGGGAGGGGAGGAGGAGGAAGAGAAGAGCAGGAGGAGGAAGAGGUGGAGGAGGGCUUGAAUACUGCAAAAAAAAAAAAAAAAAAAAAAAAAAGACAGCCAGACAAGAUGAGUAGAGAGCCGAGUGGUUAUCGGGACACCUCCAGAUAAGCGGGCAGGAUGCGGGGGCCGUUUAAACCGCACACAUCACUCAGCUGGCCGCCAGCCAUUGUAGUAGUGUGGAUCCUAGAUUAAUUCUUAUGGAGACCAUUAUUUCCUGAGAAUGCGUUCAGGGACAGAACAAACAGACGUUCAGUAACAGCAGACAUCUGCAGAGGCCUUCUAAUUUAUUUUCAUGUCAUGCACCUAAUACCAUUUCUGGACGUGGACAUUUCAGCUGACCCCUAAAGGAACACACAGCCUGACAGUGGCAGCAACCUCAGUGUGAAAAUAUGGGUUAUUCCAGAAUUUUUGAAAAGCAAACCUACUCUUAUAAUUGUCUGCUACAUAUUUAUCAGUAAUAAAUAAUAAACUAUAAAAGGGUUGAUUGGCUCAGCUUAGGCAUCAGUGGUACCAUUUUUAUUCCAUGUUUUAUUUGUUACUCUAAUCACAGUAACAGGGUUUCUAAUCCAUGCUAAUGUUAGCUUUUUCUCAGGAGUAGAAGCUAGAUAUUUACACACGUGGACAAAAUUGUUGGUACCCCUCAGUUAAAGAAGGAAAAACCCACAAUUCUCACUGAAAUCACUUGAAACUCACAAAAGUAACAAUAAAUAAAAAUUUAUUGAAAAUUAAAUAAUCAAAAUCAGCCAUCACUUUUGAAUUGUUGAUUAACAUAAUUAUUUAAAAAAACAAACUAAUGAAAUAGGGCUGGACAAAAAUGAUGGUACCCAUAACUUAAUAUUUUGUUGCACAACCUUUUGAGGCAAUCACUGCAAUUAAACGAUUUCUGUAUUUGUCAAUGAGCGUUCUGCAGCUGUCAACAGGUAUUUUGGCCCACUCCUCAUGAGCAAACAGCUCCAGUUGUCUCAGGUUUGAUGGGUGUCUUCUCCAAAUGGCAUGUUUCAGCUCCUUCCACAUAUGUUCAAUGGGAUUCCCAAGUGCAGAUCUGGGCUCAUAGAAGGCCACUUUAGAAUAGUCCAACGCUUUUCUCUCAGCCAUUCUUGGGUGUUUUUGGCUGUGUGUUUUGGAUCAUUGUCCUGUUGGAAGACCCAUGACCUGCGACUGAGACCAAGCUUUCUGACACGAGGCAGCACAUUUCUCUCCAGAAUGCCUUGAUAGUCUUCAGAUUUCAUCGUACCUUGCACACUUUCAAGACACCCUGUGCCAGAUGCAGCAAAGCAGCCCCAAAACAUUACUGAGCCUCCUCCAUGUUUCACCGUAGGGACAGUGUUCUUUUCUUCGUAUGCUUGGUUUUUGAGUCUAUGAACAUAGAGUUGAUGUGCCUUACCAAAAAGCUCCAGUUUGGUCUCAUCUGUCCAAAGGACAUUCUCCCAGAAGCUUUGUGGCUUGUCAACAUGCAUUUUUGCAAAUUCCAGUCUGGCUUUUUUAUGAGUUUUUUUCAGCAGUGGUGUCCUCCUUGGUCGUCUCCCAUGAAGUCCACUUUGGCUCAAACAACGACGAAUGGUGCGAUCUGACACUGAUGUACCUUGGCCUUGGAGUUCACCUUUAAUUUCUUUGGAGGUUGCUCUGGGCUCUUUGGAUACAAUUCCAACGAUCCGUCUCUUCAAUUUGUCAUCAAUUUUCCUCUUGCGGCCACGUCCAGGGAGGUUGGCUACUGUCCCGUGGGUCUUGAACUUCUGAAUAAUAUGAGCCACUGUUGUCACAGGAACUUCAAGCUGUUUAGAGAUGGUCUUAUAGCCUUUACCUUUAAGAUGUUUGUCUAUAAUUUUUUUUCGGAUGUCCUGGGACAAUUCUCUCCUUCGCUUUCUGUUGUCCAUGUUCAGUGUGGUACACACCUUUUCACCAAACAGCAGGGUGACUACUUGUCUCCCUUGAAAUAGGCAGACUGACUGAUUAUGAGUUUGGAAACACCUGUGAUGUCAAUUAAAUGACACACCUGAGUUAAUCAUGUCACUCUGGUCAAAUAGUUUUCAGUCUUUUAUAGAGGUACCAUCAUUUUUGUCCAGGCCUGUUUCAUUAGUUUGUUUUUUUAAAUAAUUAUGUUAAUCAACAAUUCAAAAGUAAUGGCUGUUUUUGAUUAUUUAAUUUUCAAUAAAUUUUUAUUUAUUGUUACUUUUGUGAGUUUCAAGUGAUUUCAGUGAGAAUUGUGGGUUUUUCCUUCUUUAACUGAGGGGUACCAACAAUUUUGUCCACGUGUGUAGCUAGCUGUUACUGCUGACCAACAACACAAAUUUACUGAUGUAAAAAAGUCAAGAAAAAAGUGAAAAGAAUUUGUCUUAAUAUAAUAUAGAAUCGAUAAUAUGCAUAACAGGGCUGCAUUAGAGUGAGACAUUCAGUCAAGGCUGACAAUGUUCUAAAAAUAAAAAAAAUAGAAGAGAGGACGUAGCUUUGCUCUAUCCAUUCUUUUGGAAAACUGAUGAUGUUAAUUCCUGCAUUUCAUGUGAUUCACUGUUUUCUUUUUCUUCUUAAAGGUUAUGCUAAUAGAGUUGUGUGCAUGUUGUGAGACACAUGUUUCAUGCAUAAUAACUAUUAUUUAAAAUAUUAUGUUGCUUAAAAGAUGUUCUGGCAAUUAUGAGAGACAUCAAUGAAAAAAAAUACACUAAAAGGAGAUUGAAAUUUCAUUUAAACUGUUUUAUUUAAGAUUCAAACAUUCUUUUCUCCUUUUUUUAGAUUUGGUCUCAGGACAAGUACAUUUUCACAACAACUGCAUGUUUUAGUAUUUUGUACAUGGAUUAUUUGAAAUUUGAUUAGUGGGAUGUAAAAUAUCCUCUAGUUCUGGAAUGACCCAUAAAGCCCUCUCAUCCAACCAACAAUUCCUUCAGAAGAUGCUCUCUUGCUUUUUGAGAUUAAAGAGGUCUUUCUUUCAAAGAGCAAGGACAACACCCCUGAGAUGCCUCCAUGCAAAGUCUUAAAAGAAGAUCACAGUCUGACCUGUAAAAAUGCAACUAUAUCCCCAAGCAAUAAAUAAAUAAUACAAUAUGAAGAAAAAAAAUCACAGCUGCUA